Molecule: long non-coding RNA, 810 nt
Organism: Leptidea sinapis
Lineage: Eukaryota; Metazoa; Arthropoda; Insecta; Lepidoptera; Pieridae
Exons: 2
Source: RefSeq, a predicted model, not a curated record
UUAUUGGUGGUAGGCGCCCAUCGGACCGUUGGAAGGUCCAUCCGGCAGCCGUACCAAAUAAGUCCACAAAAUUCGUUACAGACGUAGUCUUAAUAUUUGUAUUAUUAAAAUUUGUUUAGUAUUGUGAUUUCUUGCUACACUUUAGUGAUCAGUUUUUAGUACAUUUUUAUGACAUUGCGAAAUGGCUCCAAGCCCAAGAAAAACUCCAAAGUCUACUCCACAAGUUCAGCAUUGGAUGGUGAAAAUUUUUGACUUGCUAAGAUUGACAAUUCAAUUAUUGAAGCUCAUUCCUACUUUUUACUGUUACUUUAAUCUACUGAUAACUGAAGUGUUGUUAGGGUGCCUGAUAAUGUGCUUGAGUAAUAUUAGUUACAUCCAUCUCAACAGUAUUCCACAACAAUUAUUAUACUGCAUUUGUUUGGGCCUCUAAACUCUUUAAUACAUAAGCUGGAUUGACCAUCACAUACAACCCAACAGCUACUGUUUCUACUGAAUUGAGAAAAUAUUGCAAGUGUGUGUAUAUUAAUGUUUUUGUCAUAGCGUUAGACAUUUUAAUAUAAUAUAAUAUAUGGAAUAAGAGUGUUUGUGGCAAUUGCCUGCAUCAUAUUAGCUGUUAUAACGGGUCUCACACACCUGCAUUAGCAUUGAGAUUUAUGUAUUGAAGUGUUUGUCUAAAACUGCAACAUUUAAUUUUAAGAUAAGGCUGCAAAAAACUAAGCUUUAUUCUAAGCAGUCCUAAUUUUUUAAAAUAAAUCUGCAUAUGUUAUAUUUUUUUAUGUUAAUAGCCUAAUAAAUCAAAGUGAAUUUAAA